Molecule: ribosomal RNA, 405 nt
Filed under: uncultured bacterium
Lineage: Bacteria
Description: partial 16S ribosomal RNA
Rfam family: Bacterial small subunit ribosomal RNA
Source: RNAcentral
GAUGAACGCUGGCGGCGUGCCUAAUACAUGCAAGUCGAGCGAAGCGGGGACGGGUGAGUAACACGUGGAUAACCUCCUAUAAGACUGGGAUAACUUCGGGAAACCGGAGCUAAACCCAUUACUUCUCGUUGGAUCCUCGCUGCAUUAGCUAGUUGGGAAGGUAAAGGCUUACCAAGGCAACGAUGCAUAGCCGACCUGAGAGGGUGAUCGGCCACACUGGGACUGAGACACGGGCCAGACUCCUACGGGAGGCAGCAGGAGGGAAUCUUCCGCAAUGGGCGAAAGCCUGACGGAGCAACGCCGCGUGAGUGAUGAAGGCCUUCGGAUGGUAAAACUCUGUUAUUAGGGAAGCGGUACCGAAUCAGAAAGCCACGGCUAACUACGUGCCAGCCGCCGCGGUAAUUC